CCAAAAAAGAUAUUGUACUUCCAAAGACAAAGAGGAAGCCACAACAAGAUGGAAUUCAUAUUUGUGAAGCAAAGAAAUAAGCCCAGCUGUGAAAAGAGCAUCUCUCUCAGUGGUUGGAAUACCAGAGGCCACUGCUGCAAUUCUUCUGGAAAGAAAUCAAAAUCCCAACAGGAGUGGAAAAUCACUGGUAUCAAGAGCCUUUGGAAGUUGAUUUUUUAUUUGUGCUUAUUCUUGAGUGAUAUUUUUUCCCACUGCCAGCCCAUUUCUUGCUGAGUGUUCUCUAGCUCACCAAAGUCUUGUGUAUUAAAUGAUUACCUCUGUUGUAAACUAGAGAAGCAAGUGAAUCUGACAGUUAAGUAAUUAGUGAAACCAUUGCCUAUAUCCCUCACUCCAUUAUCCUAACUGUACCCUUUAAAUUGUACCCCAAGAGCCACUUAGAAACCUCUUUUUCUUCAAAGUCCAUUACUCCUUAUAUGUAAGUCUUAUACCUCCCCAGGUUCUUAAUAAAUCAUAAGAAGAUUUGAUAUGUAUAGAAUCGGGUUUCAAAAAAGUAACUUAAAAAAAAAAACUUUUAGAGUUAUGCAAAAUGAAGCUGGCUUACCCCUGAAAGGUGCAAGGUACGUUCCUGCCAACACAUUAAUUGUUAUAGUAAUUUAAGUAAUGGCAUGAUGUUAUUGUCCACUCAGUGUCUAUUUCCUGGACUAUUCUGUUCCAUAAAAUGAAUAGAAUGAAAGUAAAUAUGCUUUUACAACAUUUUCUCCAAAUCUUGUCAUGAUCACAAUGGAUAUAGAAACAGUUGGGACUAACAUAUGUUAUUCUCUGAAAUUAAGAUCCCUGCAUGCCUUUAACAAGAUGAGUCAUAGUCCUUUCACCAAAGUCAGAAAAUGUAUCCUGGUUACUUUUCUCUCAUUUCAUUUAUGUUAUUAAGAAAAAGCUAAGCAAAUCACUAACUUGCCACUUCAAGAUGCUCAGACAACGAAAAACUAAAUAAAAAACAAAACAAAACAUGGUGUUUAUGACGCCAAUACAUUAAAGUCAAAGGUUUAGGUUUUCCUUGGCUAGUUUAUCAUCUUUCCUUCUAACAAAUUAGAUGUUGCAAGAGAGAGAGGAGGAGUGGGGGAGAGAGGCCUUGUCCUUAGAAAAGAUAAGUAAGUAUUAAUGCUCGUUGUGCCAGAUCAAAGUGAACAGACAAAUGACAAUCAGAACGCAUAAGCUAUAGUUGAAUCCCAACACCUGGAGAGUCUUAGAUGCUGCCAAAUUAAAAUGCAGUGCCUGCAUAGCAAAUGAAACUGUAAAACAAAAGACAAUCUACAGAAUGGGAGAAAAUAUUUGUAAACAAUGCGACCGACAAGGGCUUAAUCUCCAAAAUAUACGAACAGC
This is a long non-coding RNA of Aethalodelphis obliquidens (Pacific white-sided dolphin), 1380 nucleotides long. RefSeq lists it as uncharacterized. The transcript is spliced from 3 exons. Lineage: Eukaryota; Metazoa; Chordata; Mammalia; Artiodactyla; Delphinidae. The record is from RefSeq and is a predicted model, not a curated record.